UGAACGCUGGCGGCAGGCUUAACACAUGCAAGUCGAGCGGGGGAAGGUAGCUUGCUACCGGACCUAGCGGCGGACGGGUGAGUAAUGCUUAGGAAUCUGCCUAUUAGUGGGGGACAACAUCUCGAAAGGGAUGCUAAUACCGCAUACGUCCUACGGGAGAAAGCAGGGGAUCUUCGGACCUUGCGCUAAUAGAUGAGCCUAAGUCGGAUUAGCUAGUUGGUGGGGUAAAGGCCUACCAAGGCGACGAUCUGUAGCGGGUCUGAGAGGAUGAUCCGCCACACUGGGACUGAGACACGGCCCAGACUCCUACGGGAGGCAGCAGUGGGGAAUAUUGGACAAUGGGGGGAACCCUGAUCCAGCCAUGCCGCGUGUGUGAAGAAGGCCUUAUGGUUGUAAAGCACUUUAAGCGAGGAGGAGGCUACU
This 423-nucleotide ribosomal RNA is filed under the name Acinetobacter baumannii OIFC109. Its description in RNAcentral is "bacterial SSU rRNA". It matches the Rfam family "Bacterial small subunit ribosomal RNA", at positions 30 to 455 of the family's 1533-position model. The record is from RNAcentral. Lineage: Bacteria; Pseudomonadati; Pseudomonadota; Gammaproteobacteria; Moraxellales; Moraxellaceae.